GCGACGGGACGUGCGCGCACCCUGUGGCCGUCGCCGACGACCUGGACGGCUUCGACGUGACGCUCGUCGUGCUGGACGACGAAGGUUACGUCACGGCGUCGCUCGCCGUGCCCUUCGAAGUGCACGGCGUGGCCGCGCUCUCGCUCUCCCAGGACGUCCUGCAGGUGGCGGUCGACCCUCGAUCGGGGGGCGCGUACGAGGUCACGCUGGCCGGCCCUCGCCCCCUCCCGCGGCCACUCUGGAGUGCCAGCUGGGUCACCGUGUCGUGUCUGGUUCGCUGGGGUGGACGCGCCCCCCGCGGUGACCGUCAGGAAGGGGUCCAACGCCAUCUAUGAGGCUACAUCAGGCUCGCCUCCCCGGCGUCCCGGGUCGAGCGCCUGACCUCGCGCGACGCCGACGCCAG
Non-coding RNA from Penaeus vannamei (Pacific white shrimp), 403 nucleotides. The record is from RefSeq and is a predicted model, not a curated record. NCBI's taxonomy places the organism in Eukaryota, Metazoa, Arthropoda, Malacostraca, Decapoda, Penaeidae.